CCUACGGGAGGCAGCAGUAGGGAAUAUUGCACAAUGGGGGAAACCCUGAUGCAGCAACGCCGCGUGAGGGAUGAAGUUUUUCGUAUCGUAAACUCCUAUUGUUAGGGAAGAUUAUGACGGUAUCUAACGAAUAAGCACCGGCUAACUCCGUGCCAGCAGCCGCGGUAAUACGGAGGGUGCAAGCGUUACUCGGAUUCACUGGGCGUAAAGAGUGCGUAGGCGGGGUAAUAAGUCAGAGGUGAAAUCCUGUAGCUUAACUACAGAACUGCAUUGGAAACUGUUGCUCUGGAGUGUGGGAGAGGUAGGUGGAAUUCUUGGUGUAGGGGUAAAAUCCGUAGAGAUCAAGAGGAAUACUCAUUGCGAAGGCGACCUGCUGGAACAUUACUGACGCUGAUGCUCGAAAGCGUGGGGAGCAAACAGGAUUAGAUACCCGUGUAGUC
Molecule: ribosomal RNA, 440 nt
Filed under: uncultured bacterium
Lineage: Bacteria
Description: partial 16S ribosomal RNA
Rfam family: Bacterial small subunit ribosomal RNA
Source: RNAcentral